Molecule: ribosomal RNA, 449 nt
Filed under: uncultured bacterium
Lineage: Bacteria
Description: partial 16S ribosomal RNA
Rfam family: Bacterial small subunit ribosomal RNA
Source: RNAcentral
AACGAACGCUGGCGGCAUGCCUAACACAUGCAAGUCGAACGAGAUCUUCGGGUCUAGUGGCGCACGGGUGCGUAACGCGUGGGAAUCUGCCCUUUGGUUCAGAAUAACAGUUGGAAACGACUGCCAAUACCGGAUGAUGACCAAAGUCCAAAGAUUUAUCGCCAGAGGAUGAGCCCGCGUAGGAUUAGCUAGUUGGUGUGGUAAAGGCGCACCAAGGCGACGAUCCUUAGCUGGUCUGAGAGGAUGAUCAGCCACACUGGGACUGAGACACGGCCCAGACUCCUACGGGAGGCAGCAGUGGGGAAUAUUGGACAAUGGGCGAAAGCCUGAUCCAGCAAUGCCGCGUGAGUGAUGAAGGCCUUAGGGUUGUAAAGCUCUUUUACCCGGGAUGAUAAUGACAGUACCGGGAGAAUAAGCUCCGGCUAACUCCGUGCCAGCAGCCGCGGUAA